This is a long non-coding RNA of Antechinus flavipes (yellow-footed antechinus), 1908 nucleotides long. RefSeq lists it as uncharacterized. NCBI's taxonomy places the organism in Eukaryota, Metazoa, Chordata, Mammalia, Dasyuromorphia, Dasyuridae. The transcript is spliced from 2 exons. The record is from RefSeq and is a predicted model, not a curated record.
ACAAUCUGAGCCUCUCUUGGUCUGAAGGGGAAAGCUGGGCUUGCUAAGACUACCCUGUGGAUGGCUUCUGUUAACAGUGCUCUGACAUCUCAGGAUGAGAGCCAGCACUCGCUUGGUUUUUUGAGAGCUGAUUUUUCAUCUCUUCCCUGGGGACCCCAGGAGAUGCUUUCCUCCCUACAGGGUAACUGCUAUAUAUGCCCUCUCCCAGUGUGAGCUCCUAGAUCAAGGACUCUCCCAUUUUUAUUACAUCUUCAGCAUUUAGCAGUGCCUGCCACACAAUAAGCAAUUAAUAAAUACUUCCAAAAAAAAAGCUUUACUAAAUGCAUUCAUCAUAGAGCAAGUGACCUAUUACAGACUCAAGUUUUGAGAGUUUUUGAAUCUUAGCUCUGAUGCGGUUUCAUUUUAUGACAAGUCAGUUCAAAACAUUGAACCCAGUUUCCUUUUCUGUAAAUUGGGUGUAAUAAUGCAGGUACUACCUACUUCAAUGAGUUGUUGUGAAGAAAGUCUUGAUCUACUUUGAAGUAUUAUCGAAUGUGGGUGGCUGCUAUUCUUUCUCUCCAGCUGGCUACACAUGGGGCAAGGACAGAGGAACUUGGGAAGAGUAUUUUUCUGGUUGGCUACUCAAGUGUCCCCUCAGUAUGACUUGACCAUCCUCUAAAAGACGCUUGGGGAAGGACACACUUAUUUUUCCCAGUUUUUAAGUAUUGAAAACAGCGACAAUUUUCACAAUUAAAAUAUCCUGAGGGUAAAAGGAACUUGUAGAGGUUACAGGAUGUACAUGUGCUGCUCUUCAUGUGUGUCUAAUGAGGAUGCCGAUGACUCCUUGUUAGUAAGAAACAUUCUGAGAUGUUUCUGAAGCUAUGGGGGAGGGGAGAAAUGGUUAAUAGCGCGUUUAUCCAAUCCACAAGGUGACUAACCAGGUCCAGAAAGCAACCUUAGGCUUUGCAUUAAAUCAGCCUGCCCCAUAAGGAGAUGAAUUGAUUGCAAGGAGUAUAGAGAAUAGAACAAGUUUGAUUGCAAACUUUUAAGUGCUUACUAUGUAUCAUACUCUGAGCUUAGCACUAAGGAAACUAAGAAAAGCUAAAGCUGCUCCCUGCCUCAAGGAACCGUCCUCGAAUAGAGGAGACAAUCAGCAAACAAUUAGGCACAUAUGUGAAAAAUUAUGGCCUGGAGAAUGCGAAGUUAGUGGGGAGGAGGUAGGAACCUGGAAAGUCCUGCAAAAGGUAGGAUUUGAUCUCAGUUUAGAAGGCAGCCUUAGAGAAAGGGAAGGAGGAGAGCUUCCUUCAAGAGUCCCAAGCAGGGAAGGCACCUCUUAGAAGGUCCCUAGGAGAGGUGUCACGUCUGAGGAGCAGCAGAAGACCAAGAAUGCUAGAUCAUUGGGAUGUGAAGGGAAUAAAGUGAAGGAAGAGUGCAGAAGCAGCAAAGUGCCAAGUAGGAUUUUAUAUUUAACUGUGGAGGUGAUCAGGAACCACAGAAGAUCCUUGGGGAUGGAGGCAGGGGCUAAGUGGCUUGUGACAAACAUUCUUGGCCUUUAAGAAAACCCUUUUGGCUGUUACUGCCAAAAGAAUUCAGAUUAUAGAAUAUAAAGAACUACAGUGGAUAAUAAGUCUUAAGGACCACAUGAAAACAAGAUGCUUUCAGGCAUAAAACAUAAUCGAUGCAAAAUCUGUGAAUAAGUGCCAUAAGCUGAUGAGGGAAGAGACCCCUUACUUUUACGACUUUUAACAGGGAGAACAAGCUAGCCUCUUCCUGGCAACCUCUUCUGGCUUUAGAAUACCACCUUCUUUUGUUUCCUGUUAGAAGACAUCAAAAUCGUCCCGAAAAGAAGUCACGGAAUCUUCCCUGCCUGGCAGUGGUUGGUGCUUAAGGAGUUUGGUGAACUUUGCAAAAAAAAAAAAAUAUAUAUAU